UACGGGGGGGGCAAGCGUUGUUCGGAAUUACUGGGCGUAAAGGGCUCGUAGGCGGCCAACUAAGUCAGACGUGAAAUCCCUCGGCUUAACCGGGGAACUGCAUCUGAUACUGGAUGGCUUGAGAUUGGGAGAGGGAUGCGGAAUUCCAGGUGUAGCGGUGAAAUGCGUAGAUAUCUGGAGGAACACCGGUGGCGAAGGCGGCAUCCUGGACCGAGAUUGACGCUGAGGCGCGAAAGCUAGGGGAGCAAACGGG
This 253-nucleotide ribosomal RNA is filed under the name uncultured bacterium. Its description in RNAcentral is "partial 16S ribosomal RNA". It matches the Rfam family "Bacterial small subunit ribosomal RNA", at positions 524 to 776 of the family's 1533-position model. The record is from RNAcentral.